Molecule: long non-coding RNA, 584 nt
Organism: Rhipicephalus microplus (southern cattle tick)
Lineage: Eukaryota; Metazoa; Arthropoda; Arachnida; Ixodida; Ixodidae
Source: RefSeq, a predicted model, not a curated record
UUAACAAGCCAGGUGAAUGGCCAGCACCGGGGGGUGGCAGCGAUACUCCACCUAAUAAGCCGGGUCCCUUUGUUUCCCCCGAACUGGUAAUUCAUCGAGACCAUCGAAUACACCAGGAUCAGUGGUAACCUUGAAACCGUUGGUUCCAUCGGGAUCAACCGUUCCGCCAGUGCCAGUCAAUAAGCCAGGGGAGGGGCCCGAUGGCAGCGCGCCAUGUGGCGACUGAGUGUGACCCCGGGAUCAACACCAUCAUCCACUAAAUCGAGCCGAGCAGAAGAAAAAUGAAAAAAAAAAACUGCACUGGCCUACCUGCUGAGGAAUCGUCGCAUGCUGUGACAUCACCCCACGUUGAUUGCUGGGCAGAGCUUUCUUUCUUUUUUUUUAUUCCCUCACACGCCCCACCGAGAAGGUGCGCAUCGACGAGACUUAAGAGCACAAUAUUACCGCAUCCCCACUAGUGUGAAUCAUAAAUAGUGGAGAAGCACCGGGUAUCGUACCUGUAUGUCACCGUGCGUCACCCGAGCGUCGCCACUACGAAUGUAAACUGAGUGACAGUAAAGUACAUAAAGUGUGUACAUGUAUAC